GUGACUUUUUUCAGAAAUGAAAAUUGAAAAAAAAUCUAAUAUUAAAGAUUUUAAAAAUUGGGUUAAUUCAGGGAAGCCUAAGUUUAUAAUACAAAUAUGGUAAUCCUGAGCCAAGUCAAAAAUACAUUUUUGAAAGGUGCAGAGACUAGCGGAGAGGUAAAGUCCUCUUAAUUACCGAUAAAAACGCCCAACACCUGAACAAUAAUUUAUACUAUUGAAGGUGAUGAGAUAGUCCAGUAAAUAGUGAAAACUAUAA
Candidatus Profftella armatura is the source of this 256-nucleotide intron RNA. It matches the Rfam family "Group I catalytic intron". From Rfam's summary of the family: Group I catalytic introns are large self-splicing ribozymes. They catalyse their own excision from mRNA, tRNA and rRNA precursors in a wide range of organisms. The core secondary structure consists of 9 paired regions (P1-P9). The record is from Rfam. Lineage: Bacteria; Pseudomonadati; Pseudomonadota; Betaproteobacteria.